This is a long non-coding RNA of Brassica rapa (field mustard), 6977 nucleotides long. RefSeq lists it as uncharacterized. NCBI's taxonomy places the organism in Eukaryota, Viridiplantae, Streptophyta, Magnoliopsida, Brassicales, Brassicaceae. The record is from RefSeq and is a predicted model, not a curated record.
GAUUUUUUGGUUUUAGCGAGAAAACACAUUUUUCGAUUUUGGCGAGAAAACAAGAUUUUUUCGGUUCUGGCGGGAAAACGAGAUUUUUUUUGGUUUUGGCGGGAAAAUACAAAUUUUCAAUUUUGGUGAGAAAACACGUUUUUGCGGUUUUGGCGGAAAAACACGUUUUUGGCAGGAAAACGCGUUUUUGCGGUUUUGGAGGGAAACACGUUUCUGCGAUUUUCGCGGGAAAAUAAAAUUUUUCGGUUUUGACGAGAAAAUGAGAUAUUUCGUUAUUGGCGGUAAAACGCGUUUUUGCGGUUUUGGCUGGAAAAACGCGUUUUUGGCGGGGAAAACUUGUUUUUGCGGUUUUAGCGGGAAAACACGUUUUUGGCAAGAAAACGCCUUUUUGUGUAUUUUGCGGUUUUUGCGGGAAACAAGAUUUUCCGGUUUGGUGGGAAAAUGAGAUUUUUCAGCUUUGGUGGGAAAACGAGAUUUUCGGUUUUAGCAGGAAAACACUUUUUUUUUUUUUUUGGCGGGAAAACACGGUUUUUGCAAUUUUGGUGGAAAAACUUGUUUUUGUGUUUUGGCCGAAAAAUGUGUUUUGGAGUGUUGGCGUGAAAACAAGUUUUUUUGUGAUUUUGGCAUGAAAACAUGUUUUCGGUUUUUGCGGAAAAACACGUUUUUGCAAUUUUGGCGGGAAAAUGCAUUUUUGAGGUUUUGGCGUAAAAAAAUAGUUUUUAGGUUUUCGCGGAAAAGCCCAUUCACAAACUUAGCCCAUAUGGAUCGCUGAUUCCUUUAAUGAAACGCUAUGUUUCGAGGAGGCGGGACACGUGUUGACUCCUCGUGAAGCGACUUUCCUAAGUGGAAUCCUAGGUGGCAGCCUCAGGAGAGAGCAAAACACUCUUUUAUAUAUAAAGAAACAGUUUGUUCUCUUCUCCUUAGGACACCUAGGAUUCCACCUAGAUAAGUCGAGCUUUGUGAGCACGACACGUGUCCAACUAUCCCAAAAACUAGCAUUUCAUUUAAGUUACAGAUCAUAACUUUGUGACGCCUCCUCUCCUCCUCUGCCUCUCUCCUACGUGAAGUUAUUAAGCACCGUGAUGCCUCCUCUCCUACUUCGUGACAGCUCCGCUCCUCUCCGGCUAUUACGUCUCUACUCUUCCCGUCUCUCUCUCUCGCUCUCCACGUCUGUUCUUCUAUUCCCUCAGAUCUCUGCUCCAUGUCUCUCCAGCAUCAGGAGAUCUCUUCUCAUGUCUCUCCAUCUCCACUACCGUUUCUAUCAAUUAAUGUUUGAAUAAUCGAAGUGUGAAGACGAACCAGAGGAUCGAUACGGUGUAGAGGAGCAGAGAGGAGUGUGGAGGAAGAGAGGAGAGGCUGUAUGGAGGAUUACCACCGUCGAAUAGACAAAUCUGGGUUUUGUUUGAGUUUUAUUAGAUCUGAAUUUUGCUCUUAGUUGAAACUCUUGAUGAAUAUUAUUUCUAUUUUUGUAGGUUUGUGAUUUGAAGAUGAUGGGUUAUAUAUAGUUUAUAUAGGCUAGAAAAAGACCAUGGUAAGGAUUUGCCAAGAAGUUUGAUUCUGAUAUUUUCUCUUUUUUUGGUAGAUGAAGUGGAUGGAAAGGAUUUGCCAUGAAAGUUGAAUCUUAUUCUGUUUACUUAAUAGCUUUCUUUAGGAGACAAACUUCGUUUUAAAUUGUAAAGUUUACUGUUUUAUCCAAUGUUUCUGAAUUUAGCUGUGUAGAGAAGGAGUGAUCUUUCGAUGUGUUUUAAAGUUCAGCUUUUUAAUGUUGUUCAGGUUGAGUGAUAUGUUUUGUGGUUCACGGCAGGAGAGAGUGGUAUACAGAAAAACUGGAAAAUGGAAAGCGUAGCCAUACCAGAGCAAUUGAUCAAACUCCUCCCUGUUGCCGAGCCUGGAAUAUUUGAUCUGGUGGGUUAUGUCAUCUUCGCCGUGGAAGGAAUCCAUACCAGAGCGUCUUCUACAACGGAAAAAUUGAGGUAGUUAUCCAAGGCAAAUGUGGAGAGGCAUGGACUUCGAGAAGACGGAUGUGAUGCACUUGUAAAACUGGUCACAGUCACGAUUCGAAAUGCCUAGCUUGUUGGGAGGAAGAAAAAUAUGAUUAAAAUUAUUGAAAUCAUUAUUGGCAAAUUACUCAAGGGCUAGAUAGUGUAUAGGCAAUAAUUCAAAACUGAAAGUUUGUAGGGCGUUAAUUUCUAUCCUAGACACAAAAAAAUCAUACAAAAAAUAAUAAUCUAGAUUACAAGUAAAAUAUAUCCUGCCCGAAGGGCGGGCCGACUCUAGUUAUAUAUAUGUUUCAGUUUUGGUGUUCCCAUGGCUGUCGCUUUUAGUUCUAUCUUUUGUUUGUGAUGUUGAAAUAUAGUCAUGCACUUGUAAUCUUAUAUAUACAGAUAGUUGAGAGGAAGAGUCAAGAACACAAAAUGGACAACGUUAGGAAUGUAUUCAAUUACCAUUAUGAUGCCAUUUUGUUGCAUUUUUGUCUCUUGCAUUUUUGUUUCUUGCAUUUCAAACUGAAACAUAUAUCAUAACAUCGUCUCUUGCAUUUUUUGUUGUGGUAGUAUAUUAAAUAUAUUUGUUGUUCUAAUUAUUAAGUCUAAUGUUUAUUUAUUAUCGUAUUUUAGUAUAGGUUUACUAUUUUCAUAACACCCAUGUUUAGUCAGAGACAAGAAAAUCCGUACCAAGCUACGAAAGACCCAACAUUCGAGGGAAAUCAAGAAAGACAAUAAAUAAAUGUACGUGUGAAUUUAAAGUUUAAGCAUCAUAAAAUAAACGAUAAAGAAAACUUCUCCACAUCAACUUUAUGAAAAUUAAUGUACCUAUAGCUUGACGUGUAUGCCAAUGAUAAUCCAGUUAAAUAUGACGAUUUAUCUAAGUAUAGCUUGUUGUUUCCAAACGAGCAACUUGAGACUGAAAUUGAAGCUAGUCGUUCCUUGAUUCAGUCAGAUACAGAGCAACAUCAUAUACCAUACAGCGAAGAGUCUGUGCAAGAAAAGGUUUGUCUUUUUCCGCUUCACUUUUUUUUUUGAAUGAAUGUUAAAUUUAUUCAUCACAAAAACCUAUUUUACAAUCAAUGCAUCGUUUGUGUGGAAAAGAAAUAGAAACUAGGAAACUAUUACAAACUCACAAACCUAUUUUAAAUUUAUCCGAUUCAGUUCUCUUUAUUGCUUUGAUUCUUAAGAAACUUACAUUAAGCAUAGUUAUCUGAAAACCACCCGCUCUUAAUUUCACAUAUGCCUUCAUAGUAUGAUCUAAUAAUGAUAUGACUAUCUCUAUUUAUGGUAGAAAAUUCUCUCACAAGAAAAUAAGAUUCAGAGGUUUAAUGAGCAGGUUAAAGAUCUAAAGAGGCAGUUGGUUCAAUGCAGGAAUGAAAAUCAGGUUGAGUUGACGGAGCUAGUAACUGAGCUUGAUCAGCUGCCACUAAGUUGUCUCUAGUCCAUUUUUACAGGCAUAUUAUUUUUCCCUAGCACAUGUUCCACAUGUGGUUUAUUUCUUUCCAGUUAAAAACAUAUGUUAAAUCAUAAUGCUUCAAGACUGAGACAUCAGGGGCUGCCGGACUGGGAUGGACUAACAAAACUUCAAGAGAAACUCAGAGAUUUUCAAGCUCCACUAACUUUGUUAUGUCACCACUUAUGGCAGAAGGUUUAGCGAUGAGGGAAGCGAUUAGGAAGAGUAAGGAACUGGGGAUCCGGUGACUAAGAUGCGAAUCAGACUCCUCACAGCUGAUCAAAGCACUUAAUUAAUAUCUACUGAGCCUUUGGAGAUUUGUGGGAUAAUCUCAGAUAUUAGAAUAGAUGCUAGCUCUUUUGAUGCUAUUUCUUUCUGUUGGAUUCCUCGAGAGAGGAAUUAUGAUGCUGAUUUCUUAGCUAAGGAGGCCUUACGCCAUGUAACAACGGAUUUAAUCAGUUUUGUUUUUAAUCAAUGAAGUUACUUUCCAAAAAAAAAAUCAUGCUUCAAGAAUUACCUAUUUGAUGGCUAGAAUCAAUUGCCAACUAAUUUGAUGCACUAUGAGAUAUUGAUCUUAUUGGAUAUGAUUGACAGAAUAUGGCAGCAUGGUUUCUAAAUUAAUAUCUGGUCCAGGGUUAUCAAAAUGAAUUUUCCAUAUGAAUAUCAUACCUAUUGAUCAGAGCCACAUGCAUACUUUUUUCUUGAGUGCUUGCUUGCUGUCUCGACCUUUUACCUUAAAGAAGAGUGGUCCUUAUAGGUGUACUACAUCAAGUAUGUGUAGCUAAGAAUGCUAUUGGAAUCUUGGGGUGUAAUUAUACUCUCUCUCUAUCUCUCUUCUCGUUGGUUUCAUUUAUCAUUACACUGAAAGCGUUGGACUAAUGAGUGAAGUCAAUAACUUGGACAUGACACACACUUAAACAAAUCUCUUGAAAUUGUAGUUACUGAGUAAUUUGUAUUCUUCAUGUAUAUGCUAAAAAAGUUUUACUACGUAGCAAGCAACCAAAGAUCCAGCGGUCGGGGAAAAUCAAGAAAGACAACAAUGAAUCUUACGUGUGAAAUUAAGGUUUAAGCAUCAUAAAAGAAACGUUGGGGAAACUUUUUCCAUAUCAAAUUAUUCAUGAAAAUUAAUGUACCUAUAGUUUGACAUGCAUGCCAAUGAUAAUCUCAGUUAAAUACGAUGCUUUAUCAAAAUAUAGCUUAUUCUUAAAGAAUUUGCUAUGUUGAACCCUAGAAAACAUAUAGUGUUACAUACGAGAUGAGCUCUUCAAUGAUUGAAAGGGAAAACAUUGCAUUAAUUUAGGUUAACAUAUGCAAACAAAGACACAAGUUUAAGACACAACAAGAAACAAAAACAAAAAAAAAAACAAGAAACAUGACCAAAGCAACAAAAACUAGAAAUAUGAAACGAGAAUGCAAAGACACAACAGUAACAACUUUAUUCCAAGACACAUUAAUUUUAUUAUUCGACGGCUAGCUGCUUCAUUAGGCAUUGUCCGCACCAUCAGACUCGCUGCUCUCUCCUUCAUAGAUCUUCAUCUCCCCAUCGUCAUCCUCAAGAAAUGGCUCAUUGCCACUCGUAUUCGGAUGUUGCUUACGUAACUUUCUAUCAUAAUACACAAUUUUCUUACUUGUAUAUGACUUUAACUUCUCAAUCUCGGUUUGAGAAAGAUCAGCAAUCAUUCUACUACCAUUUUUGAUUUGGAGCAUGAGAUUAUCCAUCUUCAACUCCUCGAUAGCCUUCCGAGAAAGCUCUAGUUUCUUCUCGAUCUCCUUGGUAAUGGUCUUGAUGAAUGAUGACUCUUCAUCAUCCGCCUUCAUGUUCCUCUCGGUUUCCGGUAAUGCGUUAUAGCAGUCGAUGAGAGAUUGAGCCUCCUCCAGAGAUGGCCACGCCACCAGCUUACCAUUUUUACGGUUGUAAAAGACCAAACAUGCACUCAUAUCACAAACGAUGGUUAGUUCUUCAGCCAUUUGAAUCAAUUCUUUCAUUCUCCGCUGGCAAACAGUAGCUCUUCUCUUUCGUUCCUCGACCCAAGCCAACUUCACUUUUGGUCUUCCCAUGGCUGUCGCUUUUAGUUCUAUCUUUUAUUUGUGAUGUUGAAAUAUAGUCAUGCACUUGCAAUCUUAUAUAUAUAGAGAGAGUCGAGAGGAAGAGUCAAGAACACAAAAUGGACUACUUUGGGAAGGUAUUUAAUUACCAUUAAAUUUCAACAUAUUUCAUAUAGUAGUAUGGUAAAUAAUAAUUUGACUGUACUAUUUUAGUAAUUGUUCAAUUACCAUUAAUUUUGAAUAUAUCUCAAAUUAGUAGUCUAGGAAGAAAAAGUUUGACUAUACUGAGGGUCUAACUGGUGACCACUGAAUGAAAGGGAAUGAUGAAUUUAUUACUAUUUCUAAUUAUUUUUACCAUUUAUAAGAAAUAUUUUUUCUUUUUUAUUCUUCUCAUUCCUUUUAUUCUAGAGGAAUAUAGAACAAAUUUGUUUCUCAUUAAAAUCGGUAAGGAAUAAUCUUUCUUUUCUUCCUAUAAUUUUAUUUCUCUACAUUUUUCUCCUACUCAUUCCUAGUGUUCCUAUAGUGGUUACCAGUUUGACCCUAAAUAUUUUGUUGUGGUAGUAUAUUAAAUAUAUUGGUUUUUCUAAUUAUUAAGUCUAUUUUUUUAUUAUCGUAUUUUAGUAUCUCCUAUAUAUUAAAAGAGAAACAUUUGUAAUUAAUGUGUUCACACUAUAUUUUCUAUGUUAUAGCUUCACAUUGAUUUCAAUUUGAGUAUGCUGACGUGUCGGCCUCACAAUCAUUUAACAAUUAAUGCAUUCACACACUAAUUUUUUAACUCUACCGCAAAUAAUUUAAUGUGUUCACACACUAUUUAUUUGAUUAACUCAUCUGGAUCUGAAACUGAAUCGAACUAGAUUUGAAAGUAAUACUAAACACAAACUAAAAUGAUUCAGUAUAUUCAGAUGGAUUAAAAGUUUAAUAUCUAGAUAACCAGAAUCGAAUCUAAUCCAAAAUAAAAUAUUUUGGAUACCAAAAUAUCUAAAUCUCAAUUAUAUAUUUAAAUAUAUUAAUUAUUUUAAAUUUUAUAUUCAGUAGAUAUUCAAAAAUAUGAAAGUAUCUCAAAAUUAUCAACAUAGACACAAGUAAAUAUCUAAAAAUAACAGUAAAUGUUAAAAAUACUGAUAAUAUUUAUUAGUUCUCCAUCCAAAUAUUUAAAUUGAAUGAUUUUUUAUGUAAAUUUAAAUAGUUAGUCUUACAUUAUUAAUUUUUUUAUGUUUUGUAUUAUUUUAUUUUUGGAUUUUGAGUAUUUAAGUAUAUUUAUAUUUUUGUUAAAAAAUACCUGAUUAAAAUGGAUAUCCGAACUCGAAUCCAAACUGAACCCGCAAAGAUUCGAAACCAAAUCUAAACCAAAAUUUGUAAAUAUCUGAAUAAGAUUUAAAUAUCUAACUCUAAAAGUGUGAAAUCCCGAUAGAUCAACUGAAUUCGAACAUAUAUAUGAAUAUUUAUUCCACAAAAAGCUAUAUGACAAAUCUUUUAGUACAACAUACUAUAAA